UUUCCAGGGCCCCACCCCCCGCUGGGGAUGGCCCCACCCCUUGCAGUGGGCGCAGCCCAUGGGGGGUGCGACCGAGGGAUAGGCUGGUCACUGGGGCUCAGGCUGCCACGUAUGCAGCACGCAGCUGCUUAGGGCACCAUGAAAUUUGGGGCAGUUUGGUGCCCCAAAUUUCAUGGUGCCCUGUGCAGCUGCAUAUGCCUAAGGAUGGCCCUGAUAAGCUGUGAAGAAAAUCAGUAUCUUCGUAAUGGUAAAGGUCAAAAAUUGCAAGGAAAAGAAAUAACCUUUUCAAUCUCCUAAGAGAAUAGUGCUGAGUAAAAGAAAAAUUGAACUGUGAGAAAGGCCAGGGUGCUGAAACAGUUAAACACAUGCAGAUGGAAGCCAUGAUUUCUUCCCCUUUCUUUGUAUAUUCAGCACUAUUAUGUAGUUUUGUUCGAUCCAUUUUGAUUUCCUAAAUCCUGUCUUUGCAAACCAUAGCUUAAAGAAAGUAUAAACCCUCUCCCCACAGGACUUUUUAGGAAAACCACCUCCUUCUCAAAGGGAUGCCAUCUGUAAUAUGUUAUGAAGGAAACAGAAGGUACAACAAAGUUAAAAGGCUCUGCCUAAUAAAUCCUGGAAGAAGAUGCAAGGGUUCAUAUCAAUCUAUCACGGUAUUAGAUGGCAAUUUCGACACACUAUUAGGACAAGUAAUUAGUAUGGGAGAGCCGAUUUUAAGCAAGAAAUAAACUAUACAGGCAGGAAUGUGAAAACAUAGGAGGCAAAGGAUGAAGUAUAUUAGGCUUAUACUGUGUUGCAAAUCAGGUUAAUAAAGGUUAACAGAGGAUCAAAGUCCACUGAAGAACAAAAGGUUGCUGGGGUUUUCCCCAAGACAAUAGAGGCUGAUGAUCUGGAUCAUUUUCUUGCAGUUGGGUCUCACAAGUUCUGCAUGUAAGGACCAAAGUAGUUCUGAUAUUCAGAAAGGGUAUGCUGAGUACCUAGCUGAUUCCUGUCAGAAAAUAAGCAUGAGACAGGAUGAGCGAUCUGCAAGUAUGAUCUGGACUAGAAUGUGGAUGUCAAUAUUCCAAGCUAGAUGUUUGCCUAUCUGCUGACCUGCCAGGUGAACAAAAAUAUUUGCUUGUGUACACUGAACACAUUUGAUUUAGAAACACUGAGUCACAAUAAAGAUAGAAUCUCACAAUGCCAAUUUUUUAGAGUCACUCUGCUGGGUUGAACUGAACUUUAAUACAGGUAACUACAAUACUACCCUAACAAUAUAAUAGUCAUUAAUCUAUUGAACAUAACAUAAGAACAGCCAUAUUGGGUCAGACCAAAGGUCCAUCUAGUCCAGUAGCCUGUCUUCCGACAGUGGCCAAUGCCAGGUGCCCCAGCGGGAAUGAACAGAGCAGGUAAUCAAGUGAUCCAUCCUGUCGCCCUUUCCCAGCUUCUGGCAGACAGAGGCUAGGGACUCCAUCCCUGUCCAUCGUGGCUAUUAGCCAUUGAUGGAUGUAUCCUCCAUGAAUUUAUCCAGUUCUUUUUUGAACCCUGUUAUAGUCUUAUGUUCUACUGUUAAUAAGGGCAUUAUUUUACUAGGCUUUUGCUGAAGGGAUGGCUUCAGGGAUAAGAAGUUUGGAUGAGGGAAUUUACAAUUUUCUUGGGUGAUUUCUAUGAGAUGGGGUGGGGUUGGUUUAGAAGUUGUCAUAUUUUGAACUUUUAUCCUUAGUUUUGUAUAAGGAAGUAUUUGUACAAGGUUCUAGAGCAUAAAAAUAAAGAGAUGUAGAGAAAGUGAGAAAUAAUGUGUUAUGUUAACUGAAAGAAGACGAGUGGAGGCAUUUAGGUACAUAAUUAAAUUAGAAUCUUUCUUGUAUGAUAUGUACAAUAGAGUUCUAUAAAGUGAGUAGAGGUUUAAAUAUUUAGAUGAUUUAAGUCCAAGCUGUUCUCUGUAGCGUACUCCUCGAAUGGCAGUCAGAUUUGUUCAGACCCUUCCCCCUCUGAAAUGAUAAGCUGCUUUUUAAGGAGGAAGAGCAUAUUUGAGGUUAGUGAUCUAUCUGUCUCUUCAGAGAUGAUUUUUCCUUCCAAAUAAUGUGGGUUGUUGCCUACUAAUAAGCAGUUUAUAUAAACAUCUCUUUAUAUUUUCCUAGUUUCUACAUUUAUCAGAAGCAAACAAAAUUUGAGACACAGAGAUAAUUCUAUUGGUUAUUCUAUUUGUUGUGUUCCCAACCAGUAUUUUUGUACAUUGGGACAGUUCUAAACAUGUUCAUAAUAAUCUCAGUCCUGUCUUUUUAUUAUUGACAAAGUAAAUAAUAGUCUUUCCUAAAUAAAACUAUUCUUUGCACAAUAAGAUACGUACAAUGCAGAAAAUGUUAUAGUAUAAAUCAGAGGUCUCCAAACUUUUUGAAUCGCGCACCCGCAGGGCCAGCUCUGGGGAAGCAAAAAAAAAAAAAGAAAAGAAGAAGAGCUGUAGCAGGCGUGCUAUCGAAGACGGAGCGGGGAGAGCUGAGCUGUCGCCGGCGUGCCACUGAAGAAUAAAAGGUCCAGGAGAGCUGCCGGCACGGUGGCGGCAGUGCUCCUCCUGCCACGCACCCCACUUUGGAGACCACUGGUAUAAAUAACCCUUAAUAGACAGGAACUGAUUUUUUUUUUAUUCACACCUCAAAACAAUUCUAUGCAGACUAUUCUAAAUGGUAAGUCUUUCUCAUUUUUGGUUUUGUUUUAUCUUCUGAGAGAUUCACAUUAAGUUCUAAAAUUACAUAAAGCUUGGAGGAAAUCUUUUCUAAACCAAAAUUAUUGAAGCAAGUUUCUCAUAGUCUUAAAAGUUGUCUUAUUAACUUCUUUCAGACUGAAUUUUUGAUCUACUUUUAGAAAAAUAUCUUUAAUUUGAAAACACGAUGGUAAGAUUUUUUUUUCUGUUAUGAAGUGCAUUUUUUUUAAAGAAAGAGCUUUCUGUAUUUCUCUUCCCUGAUUUGAGUCUACACACUCAAACGAAGAAAUGUUGCUGAUAAAUUACACUAAAUUCACAUGAAAAGCUAUCUCAACAAUAGAUGGAAGUCUGCUUUGUAGCUUAUGGAGAAUUGUGUUGUGUGUGUUCAAAUGAGAUCUUUACAUUCUCCCUUCUGCAAGUUAUUUUGGCAGUAGCCAUGGGCCUCUGAGGUCAGGCUGGCAUUGUGAUGUCACAAAGAUCUUGCCUUCACUAGGAAAAAAGAUGUGCUCUUAACUCAUGUUGGCAAUACAUGGUAACUAACUUGAGCUAAAAUUCUAGUGAAAACAAGGCAGUUGGUAGUUUUAACUCAAGUUAGCAGGUUCAGGUAAAUCCUAGGGCCCCCAUAGUCAAGGACCUCGCUGGACUGGUCCAACCUCUUCAGAGACCCAGUACCUUUGUUAAAUUUCUGAGUUAGCUGGCUUUAUUGUUAGCCAUUUUAGCUUGUUUAUUUUCUUUAUAAAAGUAUUUCUUUUAUUAGUUCACUCACCUCACAGAUCCUGUGAUGGAACUGAAGGGGAAGAGGCCAGGAUUUUAGAGGGUGCCUCUUGUCCUGUGUAUUCCCCACUUCAGACCUCCCACACAAGGUAUCUAACUUGCUUGUGGGAGGACACUCUCUUUCCUGUCACGUGAGCUGCAGCACACAAUAAUAAAGGGGCAGGCAAUUACUUCACAAUUGCUGUCUAAACUGGACAGAUUAUGUACUGAAGAGACCUACAAAUUAGUAUCUGUUCCUCUCCCAUUAGAGAUUAGUUAACAUGCAGCAGCUCCUUUGGCAUAUUCCCAUUGUAGGAAUUGGCAGAGCUGCUAUGUGAAGCUCUAGCUACACGUUUGCUAAACGUUAUGCACUAGACUUAGCCUCCUGGUAUGAUGUUCAGUUUGGCAGAGUGGUGCUUUGGUAGAAAGUGUUUCAUUAGAACUCCAUGUCCUAUCUUCCUCAGAUGACAGUCCUGCUUAUCAAACUAUCCCAUGAGUGGAAAUGUGCAGCGGCCACUCCCUUUCCCUUGGAAUCCUAUUUACAAUUUCAGACCUGAGGAUGCAGUUGGAGAGGACUGAGGAAGCUGAUGGAGGUGCCUGACUCUCCACCUUAUAGCUUGAGCCUUGCAGAGAUGCAAAAUUUGUAUCUGCAUCCAAUCUGUGAUCUGCAAACAUGGAUGCAAAUAUCCGUAGAUAUAAAGCAGAUAUCCUCAGAAUGUGCAGGAACAAUGAAGGGAAGUGAGAUGGGACACGAGCACUUUAAACAACACUGCUAUGAAACGUUCCACCCUCAGAGCUGCACUGCUGGCAUAUCCCCCUGAGUGUGAGUGCAGAGAAUCCAUCACAAAGAAUGCUGGUUGCAGGAAGUGUGUGUUCCCACCACUGUUUAAUUGUCUGAAGAGAGAGGCUGCAAAGCAUCUGGGGUCUUCCAGCAACUGAAGAGAAGACAUAAAGCUGCAUUUUCCUUUCUCCUGUUUUUCCUCUUCCAGCGUGUGUCUUAAGAAGAAACAAACUUAGACUUUUUCAGCAAAACUGGAGAGCUAACAUCUACCACCUAAAAUUGGCUCUUUGUCCACAAAAGAACCUUUAACACCAUCUGAAAAACUACCAAUCAAGUGCAACUACAAGCUCUAUGCAAAUAAGAGGCUAUAAGAGAAAUAGUUACAAUGAACAUUUACUUAUGUUUUAAGUGUUGGUUUUUUUUCUUUUGCUUCACUUUUUACAUGUAUUUAAUAAAUAUUAAAAAAAACUUCUUUGAUACCCAAUGCACAACACAAUCCUGAACACAAAUUACUGUUAAUAUUGUGGCAGUAAAAAAAUAAUUAAAAAACCCAGAUGACGUUUAUACUGUAGUAAAAUGGUGAGUGCCCAGGGCUUCCUGGAGUUUUGGUAGGGUCCAAUUUUGAAAAUUUCCUCCCAAUUCUGUUUUAGUUUGUGUAACCAGUUUCUGCCUAACAGAUUUUGCCUUUGUCCUUGGAUCACUGGGACUAGUAACCUUUUUCUUUUGGCACAGAAUCUACCACUUGGAUGGGUUCUGUGGCGUAGACACACGGGAUCACUCCUGCAUUUGCUAGUGGACUCAGUCACUGUUGAUACGUAGAUUCAUUGAUCACAGUAGCUAAAGCCCCUGUAUUACAUGUGUACUGACUGAUUGUUUAACUCUACUGUUACUUCAUAAGGUCCCACUUUCUUCUCUUCUUGACAGUAUCUAGCCCAUAUCCCUUCCUUUGUGUCUUCUUCCCCCCUCAAGGUAAAAUGUCCUCUGCUUUCUUCCUUUUCCUCUGGCCUUUUGGAGUCUACCUUCCUGGCUUGAUUGAUAGUCACCUUUGCAUUUUCUGGCUACGUGUCCAAUCUUGAGGCUUUUUGUGACACUGGUCUUUACAGACGAUGUAAAAUGAGCUCCACAGCAGAAACACCUUCAGGAGCCUGCAUCCCUUUCAGCUGGUUUUGCAUUUUGUUUAUUGAGUCAGUCUGAUCGCACCUGUAUUCUAAGUGAAAAUCUUGUAAGUUUUUCACCGCUGCUUCCAUUGCUGUUGCUAAUUCUAUUGCUUUGGGCCAGGUUAAGUUUCCUUUUGCCAGCAAUCAUCUUUGAAUUCUCUCAUUAUUAACAUCACAAACCAGUCCAUCCCACAGCAUAUCCAUUGGGACAUUUAACUGAAUAGUGCUCAUUUGAAAUCUUUUUAGCUCUGCCACAUGUACAGCUACAGUUUCACUUUGCCUCCUCAUUCUACUGUAAAAUGUUCUACAGUAAUGUUUGGUUUUGGCGUGUAGUGCUCUGGUAAAACCUUCUUCAUGUCUUCUAAACUUGUAUCUCUGGGUUACUGAGACUGUAACUAACUCCUUGACAGAAAGUAAAUUUUAUUGCCACAGAACUGUUUGUCCUUAUUUGCAAGAAAAUUGUGGCCCAGUCUUUGUAAGUAUUUCUUUAUUAAACUCCUUAGUUUUCCCAUAAAUUACAUUAUUAUGUUGUUUUCAGUUUUGAAAAGGACUGCUGUUCAAUGCAACAAAAAUAAGCCUACUUGCAGAGUGAGAACCUGCUGCUUUAUUCAACUGCAUCACAGAGUGGCAGGGAAAAAAUCCCACUGGAUAAAACAGGAGGUUAAGAAGGGAUGAAGCCAGGCUCCAUCCAUCCGGGUAACCUAGUUAACCCUAUCAUGACUGCUUUACGGACUAUACUUUCCUAACAAUUUUAUACAGUUCUCACAGCACCCCAUCCCUAGUCUGGAUCUCAAGGUAGAGAGCUGCUGGUUUCUCUGGGGUUCAUAAUGCUCCUGGUUGAAGGGGCUUUUAAGUCAUUGUAACAGCUGUCUCCUAUUACCAGAUCUCCAUUGCUGAUGUGACGGGAUAUCUAGGUUCCCUCUUGGACAUAAUUAAUAGGUGUAGGACUUACUUUGGUCAAAAGAGAGGGGGAUCCUAAAUCUACUGCCACCUCAUUUUUUCCCCUUCAGUUAGAUUCAGAUAAGGUUCCUAGCCCUUGAUUCUUUGCAGCGGUAAUGGUCAGGAAAUCAGCAAUACUUUAAAUAUUUAACAUAAUUCUCCCCUACCAUCCUCUCUCUCUUGCUUGCUCUCUUCAGUAACUCAAUAGCAGCUAAAGGAAUUUUUCUAAAAUUUCCCCAAAAAAAUAAUCUCUGGGAUGAGACUGAUGUUGAAACUUUUCAUGUUCAGUGAGGACUUUUUCAGAAAAUUAUGGGCAUGUGAAAUCAAGGUGCUAUGAAGGUCCUGACAAGAACUAUAUAUUUUGUAUACAUUACAUGUGCAUGUUCAAAUACUACCUUCUGCUGCAGGUGUCAAUUUCAUUGUCAGACCUGUUCAAAUGUAUAUGAUUUAUAUUUCUCUUCAGUAGGUCACAAUCUUUGCAGCACCAAGUGCUACACUGGCAAUUUAUCAAGAGUCCAGUGGGCACAGCCGAUUUGCAUUUUCAUUUACAUUACUUUACGUGAAUUUGCUGUCAAUUUGUAUUCUCUUAGUGCUGCAAUAAAA
Caretta caretta (loggerhead turtle) is the source of this 6907-nucleotide non-coding RNA. The record is from RefSeq and is a predicted model, not a curated record. Lineage: Eukaryota; Metazoa; Chordata; Testudines; Cheloniidae.